AGCCUACCCUAGCCCACUCACAAUAAAAUUCAACUAAGCAAACCAAAAUUUACUUUACUACUAGAACUAAAACAUUCUUACAACUUAGUAUAGGUGAUAGAAAAGAUUCACUUGGCGCUAUAGAGACCAUGUACCGUAAGGGAAAGAUGAAAUAAUAAUGAAAACUAAAGCAACAAACAGCAAAGAUUAAUCCUUGUACCUCUUGCAUCAUGAUUUAGCAAGAACAACCAAGCAAAACGAACUUAAGCUUGCCACCCCGAAACUUAAGCGAGCUACUUGCAAGCAGCUACUCGAGCGAACCCGUCUCUGUUGCAAAAGAGUGGGAUGACUUGCUAGUAGAGGUGAAAAGCCAAUCGAGCUGAGUGAUAGCUGGUUGCCUGUGAAACGAAUCUAAGUUCCCCCUUAAUUCCCCUAAAUGGCUGACUCAACCUAACCCCUAUGUAAUGAAUUAAGAGCUAUUUAAAGGGGGUACAGCCCCUUUAAAAAAGAACACAACCUCCUCUAGCGGGUAAGCUAUUUAAUAGAAAUUCCUCCCUCUCUUCCAAACUGUAGGCCUUAAAGCAGCCACCAAUAAAGAGUGCGUCAAAGCUCAGUAUAUAAAAAAUUUGAAGACAACACGACCCCCUUACCCCUAACAGGCUAACCUAUAAUAAUAGGAGAAAUAAUGCUAAAAUGAGUAACUAGGGCCACUCCCCCUCUUAAGCGCAAACUUACAUCUUACAUUAUUAACAGACCGCAACUAAUACUGCAAACUUAACUAGACCUCAUAUAUUAAACCUUUACCUGUUAAUCCAACUCAGGGGCGCUUACUAGAUAGAUUAAAAUCUGUAAAAGGAACUAGGCAAACUUAGGGCCCGACUGUUUACCAAAAACAUAGCCUUCAGCCAAACAAGUAUUGAAGGUGAUGCCUGCCCAGUGACAUAUACGUUUAACGGCCGCGGUAUUCUAACCGUGCGAAGGUAGCGCAAUCAAUUGUCCCAUAAAUCGAGACCUGUAUGAAUGGCUAAACGAGGUCCUAACUGUCUCUUACAGAUAAUCAGUGAAAUUGAUCUUCCCGUGCAAAAGCAGGAAUAAAUUCAUAAGACGAGAAGACCCUGUGGAACUUAAAAAUCAGUGGCCACUUCAUGUAAACCUACCCCUAUUAGGCCUAACUACACUAUACACUGGCCCACAUUUUUUGGUUGGGGCGACCUUGGAGAAAAGCAAAUCCUCCAAAAAUAAGACCACCCCUCUUAACUGAGAGCGACUCCUCAAUGUACAAACAGUAACCAGACCCAAUAUAAUUGAACAAUGGACCAAGCUACCCCAGGGAUAACAGCGCAAUCUCCUUCAAGAGCCCAUAUCGACAAGGAGGUUUACGACCUCGAUGUUGGAUCAGGACAUCCUAAUGGUGCAGCUGCUAUUAAGGGUUCGUUUGUUCAACGAUUAACAGUCCUACGUGAUCUGAGUUCAGACCGGAGCAAUCCAGGUCGGUUUCUAUCUAUGCUUACACUUUCCCCAGUACGAAAGGACCGGUAAAGUGAGGCCAAUACUUAAAGCACGCCUCCCCUCUAAGUAAUGAACUCAACUAAAUUACAAAAGAAGUACCCACAUACUCUUCCAUCCUAGAAAAGGAUA
Molecule: ribosomal RNA, 1617 nt
Filed under: Morus serrator
Lineage: Eukaryota; Metazoa; Chordata; Aves; Suliformes; Sulidae
Description: 16S ribosomal RNA
Rfam family: Bacterial large subunit ribosomal RNA
Source: RNAcentral